Molecule: ribosomal RNA, 462 nt
Filed under: uncultured bacterium
Lineage: Bacteria
Description: partial 16S ribosomal RNA
Rfam family: Bacterial small subunit ribosomal RNA
Source: RNAcentral
UGGGGAAUUUUGGACGAAUUGGGCGAAAGCCUGAUCCAGCAAUGCCGCGUGUGUGAAGAAGGCCUUCGGGUUGUAAAGCACUUUUGUCCGGAAAGAAAUCCUUGGCUCUAAUACAGUCGGGGGAUGACGGUACCGGAAGAAUAAGCACCGGCUAACUACGUGCCAGCAGCCGCGGUAAUACGUAGGGUGCAAGCGUUAAUCGGAAUUACUGGGCGUAAAGCGUGCGCAGGCGGUUUGCUAAGACCGAUGUGAAAUCCCCGGGCUCAACCUGGGAACUGCAUUGGUGACUGGCAGGCUAGAGUAUGGCAGAGGGGGGUGAGAAUUCCACGUGUAGCAGUGAAAUGCGUAGAGAUGUGGAGGAAUACCGAUGGCGAAGGCAGCCCCCUGGGCCAAUACUGACGCUCAUGCACGAAAGCGUGGGGAGCAAACAGGAUUAGAUACCCUGGUAGUCCACGCCCUAAA